This 430-nucleotide ribosomal RNA is filed under the name Acidobacteriota bacterium. RNAcentral's name for it is "Acidobacteria bacterium partial 16S ribosomal RNA". It matches the Rfam family "Bacterial small subunit ribosomal RNA", at positions 355 to 776 of the family's 1533-position model. The record is from RNAcentral. Lineage: Bacteria; Pseudomonadati; Acidobacteriota.
UGGUGAAUAUUGGACAAUGGGCGCAAGCCUGAUCCAGCCAUGCCGCGUGUGUGAAGAAGGCCUUUUGGUUGUAAAGCACUUUAAGCGAGGAGGAGGCUACUUGGAUUAAUACUCUAGGAUAGUGGACGUUACUCGCAGAAUAAGCACCGGCUAACUCUGUGCCAGCAGCCGCGGUAAUACAGAGGGUGCGAGCGUUAAUCGGAUUUACUGGGCGUAAAGCGUGCGUAGGCGGCUUUUUAAGUCGGAUGUGAAAUCCCUGAGCUUAACUUAGGAAUUGCAUUCGAUACUGGGAAGCUAGAGUAUGGGAGAGGAUGGUAGAAUUCCAGGUGUAGCGGUGAAAUGCGUAGAGAUCUGGAGGAAUACCGAUGGCGAAGGCAGCCAUCUGGCCUAAUACUGACGCUGAGGUACGAAAGCAUGGGGAGCAAACAGG